CCGAGGGGUGGCAGCAGUGGGGAAUAUUGGGCAAUGGGCGCAAGCCUGACCCAGCAACGCCGCGUGAGGGAAGAAGGUUUUCGGAUUGUAAACCUCUGUCCUUGGGGACGAAAAAAAUGACGGUACCCAAGGAGGAAGCUCCGGCUAACUACGUGCCAGCAGCCGCGGUAAUACGUAGGGAGCAAGCGUUGUCCGGAAUUACUGGGCGUAAAGGGUGCGUAGGCGGCAAGGCAAGUCAGAUGUGAAAUCCCCGGGCUUAACUCGGGGGGUGCAUUUGAAACUGCUUUGCUUGAGUGCAGGAGAGGAAAGCGGAAUUCCUAGUGUAGCGGUGAAAUGCGUAGAUAUUAGGAGGAACACCAGUGGCGAAGGCGGCUUUCCGGACUGCAACUGACGCUGAGGCACGAAAGCGUGGGGAGCAAACA
RNAcentral lists this ribosomal RNA (422 nucleotides) under uncultured prokaryote. RNAcentral's name for it is "bacterial SSU rRNA". It matches the Rfam family "Bacterial small subunit ribosomal RNA", at positions 338 to 774 of the family's 1533-position model. The record is from RNAcentral.